CUGGAUCGGUCGCAGGGCACGUGAU
RNAcentral lists this non-coding RNA (25 nucleotides) under Cricetulus griseus (Chinese hamster). The record is from RNAcentral. Lineage: Eukaryota; Metazoa; Chordata; Mammalia; Rodentia; Cricetidae.